ACCCUCUGCCCUCUGAGCAUAAGAGUUACAGGUCUAUAUUGUCAUGGCUGACUUUUACCAUGGGUGCUUGAGAUCUAAACUCAGAUCCUCCUGUUUGCAUGGCUGCUUCCCCCUAAGACAGGGUUCAAGACCUCAGCAUUGGACACGAGCAAGAUAAGGUUUUUGUAGUUCAUGGAUAGGGAGCUUCCAAAUGAGGAAUUUGGCAUGCAAAUAAUUCAGGCUGCAGAAGCAAAACAUAACAGAAAGAAGGGCUAAGUGCAGUUUCUGAUCAAAGAGGAACACAGAAGUCAGAGAGAAGAUGCUAAAAGAGAGGUGGUCCUAUCAGAUCAGCCAAGUUAUUUGGAAGUAGGAAAAUAUUCAGGUGUGAACCUCUCCACAGCAAUUUCCCACCUUUAAUAAAUAACAACAGAAUUCAAUCC
Molecule: long non-coding RNA, 419 nt
Filed under: Mus caroli (Ryukyu mouse)
Lineage: Eukaryota; Metazoa; Chordata; Mammalia; Rodentia; Muridae
Description: lncRNA (MGP_CAROLIEiJ_G0005070.1)
Source: RNAcentral